AUAUAAGACGAGAAGACCCCAUGGAGCUUUAAACCCAACAACACCUAUCUAUUUUAUUCCCCCAUAUUUAUACGGUUAUGUUUGUUUGGUUUUAGGUUGGGGUGACCGCGGAGUAUAAAACAACCUCCACGAAGAAAAGACUAAUAAUCUUUAUCAGAGAAAGACAUUUCUAAGAAAUAAUAUAUUAACUUUAAAUGAUCCGAUAUUCGAUUAACGAAUCAAGUUACCCUGGGGAUAACAGCGCAAUCCACCUUAAGAGCCCUUAUCGACAG
This 272-nucleotide ribosomal RNA is filed under the name Boophis luciae. RNAcentral describes it as "partial 16S ribosomal RNA". It matches the Rfam family "Bacterial large subunit ribosomal RNA", at positions 2076 to 2511 of the family's 2925-position model. The record is from RNAcentral. Lineage: Eukaryota; Metazoa; Chordata; Amphibia; Anura; Mantellidae.